GCGCUCGUAGCUCAGUGGAUAGAGCUCCCGCCUUCUAAGCGGAAAGUCGCUGGUUCGAAUCCAGCCGGGCGCG
This 73-nucleotide transfer RNA is filed under the name Cyanobacteria bacterium REEB67. Its description in RNAcentral is "tRNA-Arg". It matches the Rfam family "tRNA". From Rfam's summary of the family: Transfer RNA (tRNA) molecules are approximately 80 nucleotides in length. Their secondary structure includes four short double-helical elements and three loops (D, anti-codon, and T loops). Further hydrogen bonds mediate the characteristic L-shaped molecular structure. tRNAs have two regions of fundamental functional importance: the anti-codon, which is responsible for specific mRNA codon recognition, and the 3' end, to which the tRNAs corresponding amino acid is attached (by aminoacyl-tRNA synthetases). tRNAs cope with the degeneracy of the genetic code in two manners: having more than one tRNA (with a specific anti-codon) for a particular amino acid; and 'wobble' base-pairing, i.e. permitting non-standard base-pairing at the 3rd anti-codon position. Lineage: Bacteria; Bacillati; Cyanobacteriota. The record is from RNAcentral.